CUCUUUUCUCGCCUUAGAUAAUGGGGGAUAUUUCUUAACUUCCCGAUUAGAUGUUCCUCGGUCUUGGUGUUUGCGUAACCAGUCCUCUAUCAAGCAAUGGUAGAAGCUGUGGGACAGAGCGCUAACUAGAAAGUGAAAGAAAGAAAACUAGUCAGGCAAUGUAACAAGCCAAAAAGGAAGUAAAACACCGAGAAUCGAUGCACCUAAAUCUGUCACAAUCUCGUAAGCAAAUGUGGUGCAGAAAGUUGUUCAUUUGUUCUUGUGUUGGACACCAAGUAAGUUUAAACUAUUUCACAGGGAAUUUUGAUUUGUCGGGCAUCUUUUAAAUGACCCUUGAAGAUAAAAAGAUUUAAAAAAUAUUUUUUUAAAGAAAAGUUGAAAGUAUCAAUUUUUCUUG
RNAcentral lists this long non-coding RNA (397 nucleotides) under Durio zibethinus. RNAcentral describes it as "long non-coding RNA (DZIB_LNC001625)". The record is from RNAcentral. Lineage: Eukaryota; Viridiplantae; Streptophyta; Magnoliopsida; Malvales; Malvaceae.